UGAGGAAUAUUGGUCAAUGGGGGCAACCCUGAACCAGCCAAGUCGCGUGAAGGAUGAAGGUCUUAUGGAUUGUAAACUUCUUUUACACGGGAAUAAAGUGGGGGACGUGUCCCCCUUUGCAUGUACCGUGUGAAUAAGGAUCGGCUAACUCCGUGCCAGCAGCCGCGGUAAUACGGAGGAUCCGAGCGUUAUCCGGAUUUAUUGGGUUUAAAGGGUGCGCAGGCGGGAUGUUAAGUCGGCGGUGAAAUUUUGCAGCUCAACUGUAAAAGUGCCUUCGAUACUGGCCUCCUUGAGUGUGGAUGAAGUAGGCGGAAUUUGUGGUGUAGCGGUGAAAUGCUUAGAUAUCACGAGGAACUCCGAUUGCGCAGGCAGCUUACUAAGCCACAACUGACGCUCAUGCACGAAAGCGUGGGGAUCAAACA
RNAcentral lists this ribosomal RNA (422 nucleotides) under uncultured bacterium. RNAcentral's name for it is "bacterial SSU rRNA". It matches the Rfam family "Bacterial small subunit ribosomal RNA", at positions 355 to 774 of the family's 1533-position model. The record is from RNAcentral.